RNAcentral lists this ribosomal RNA (464 nucleotides) under uncultured Geobacteraceae bacterium. RNAcentral describes it as "partial 16S ribosomal RNA". It matches the Rfam family "Bacterial small subunit ribosomal RNA", at positions 338 to 794 of the family's 1533-position model. Lineage: Bacteria; Pseudomonadati; Thermodesulfobacteriota; Desulfuromonadia; Geobacterales; Geobacteraceae. The record is from RNAcentral.
CCUACGGGAGGCUGCAGUGGGGAAUUUUGCGCAAUGGGGGCAACCCUGACGCAGCAACGCCGCGUGAGUGAUGAAGGCCUUCGGGUCGUAAAGCUCUGUCAGAGGGGAAGAAAUGCAGGUGGUGAACAACCAUUCUGUUUGACGGUACCCUCAAAGGAAGCACCGGCUAACUCCGUGCCAGCAGCCGCGGUAAUACGGAGGGUGCGAGCGUUGUUCGGAAUUAUUGGGCGUAAAGCGCGUGUAGGCGGUUUGUAAAGUCGGAGGGAAAAGCCCCGGGCUCAACCGGGGAAGUGCAUGGGAUACUGGCAGACUUGAGUACGGGAGAGGAGAGUGAAAUUCCCAGUGUAGGAGUGAAAUCCGUAGAUAUUGGGAGGACCACCGGUGGCGAAGGCGGCCCCCUGGACCGAUACUGACGCUGAGACGCGAAAGCGUGGGGAGCAAACAGGAUUAGAUCCCCCGGUAGU